Molecule: ribosomal RNA, 189 nt
Filed under: Triticum aestivum (bread wheat)
Lineage: Eukaryota; Viridiplantae; Streptophyta; Magnoliopsida; Poales; Poaceae
Description: partial small subunit ribosomal RNA
Source: RNAcentral
AUGGGUAUAGACGGUCUUUCAUUAUUCUUCGUGAUAUUGACCACAUUUCUGAUCCCUAUUUGCAUUUCAGUGGUUUGGUCUGGUAUGAGAAGUUUUGGGAAAGAGUAUAGUACAGCAUUUCUAAUUCGUGAAUUUCUAAUGAUCGCCGUGUCCUGCAUGCUGGAUCCUCUACUAUUCGUGAAUUUCUAG